Molecule: transfer RNA, 73 nt
Filed under: Lachnospiraceae bacterium
Lineage: Bacteria; Bacillati; Bacillota; Clostridia; Lachnospirales; Lachnospiraceae
Description: tRNA-Val
Rfam family: tRNA
About the family: Transfer RNA (tRNA) molecules are approximately 80 nucleotides in length.
Source: RNAcentral
GGGCUCUUAGCUCAGCUGGGAGAGCAUCUGCCUUACACGCAGAGGGUCAUAGGUUCGAGCCCUAUAGGGCCCA